UCUGGAACUCUUUCUGGAAGAUUCUGUAGGGUCUGGGGGUGGGGGAGGGGGGAAGGUCAUGUAAGAAUGAGUGGGGCGUGGCCAGAAAUGGCCUUAAGAAGCCAACUGAGUGUUAGUCUGAUCUGGGUCUGAUAUACCGCCUCUUUGGGCAGCCUGCUCGCUCCGCCCAAUUGGACUUCCAUUUCUGUCGACACAAGCACAAGCUCACAGCAUCCUGGAUCGAGUUGUUCUUUGAUAUUUAAAAGGUAGAUUCUCCUUCUAUGAGUACAAUAUUAAUGACUAAUCGUAGAGGAAAAUCCACGUUUUCAGUAUCAAAUGCUGCUUGGGAAACCACCGAGGACAUGACAUCUUCACCGAAGAAAGCAUGCUAUCCGUCGUCUUCCUGGGCUUGGCGGGGAUAGAUAGAUUUGUGACUUGUAUGAUGUGUGCCUAUAUGCCAGCCUCUCCCAGUGAUGUGUUCUGAGACCACUGUGUUCUUUAUAUCCCUUCUCUGACCUCAAAUGAAGUUGUUUCUCUGUGUGCUCACCAUGUGUAUAUGUUUUCUGGAAUUGGCUUCUUUUUUCUGUAGCGAUAUGUCUUGGAGACCUCCUGGGUGGGCCAUCAUUUUGGGUAAGGACGCCUUGGGUAACCCUUUGGGGGGAGUGGAGAAGGGGCAUGUGAAUCAUCUGGAAGUGUAACCUCCAAAUGUGCCCCCUCAGGCUCACAUCCGGACCGUCAUCGCAUCUGUCAUCGCACCGGACCAGCUCUCCCCAGCGCUCCUUAUCGUUUGCUACUUGAAGAGAGGUUAUCCUUUGUGUGUUUGCUUUACGCGAAAUGAAUAUGCAAGGGCAAGCUCUCUUCGAGGAGCAAAUGCUGCCUGGAAGCAUGGCUGGCGGCGGCCUGGGCCUAGCAGAAGGGUGUGGUCUCUCCAGGGUAAGUAAAUGCAUGGUGGGCCACUGAGCUUGGGCUCCUUCUGUGUCUGACCCUACAGAGCUCAUGCAUGCUUCUGAGAACUUUCUAGAAAAAAUGCUGACGUGGGAGAUCCUAAGGGCUGUUCUUGGUAGAGUCUAGGAAACUAAGCCUCCCCUUCUGACAGCCCUUCACAGUGUGGUGUGCAUGCCAGGUCGACUUCUAAGGCCAAAAGAGUGUCAGCAGCAAGCCAGUGCCCAUUUAGAUGUGGAUUUUCUGCCCACCAUUGCCAACCAGUCCUUACAAUCACCUUUUAGGCUUCACGUCCACUUAAGGGAAGGGGGGUUAGUGGAUAUCCAAAGAAAAGAUGCCCCCAGAGGCUACCAAGACCAUUAAGCCUCCUUCUCCAGGUGUCCUCUUCACCUUGUUGUCACAGCAUGAAGUUCUGUUAAGGGUGUCUAAAGAACCUUGGUUCUGGGGGUUGGGUGGGGGUGGGGCAUCUCACCUCCCUCCGGUGAGCCUUGCAUGGGUCUGAUGUUUAUAGUGAUAAGUCUCCCGUAGUCCUCUGAACUCCCCAAAAAGGGCAGAAGAAAGGUCCAGAGGUCUCCGUACUGCUCCAGUUUGGGGAAGAGGGUGGGGGCUUUCAGAGAGCUAGUUUUCCGGUUUUUCUUCUUUCUUGAAUGAUGCAUGUUGCUGUGCGUACUAAUCCUGCUCUUUCUAUGACCAUCUGGAGGACUUCCUGGAGGCUGCAGCUGUGGGCACAGGUGGAGGCUUUCUUGUCAGGGUGGCUUUGCAGGCUCUGGAAUGCCAAUCAUUCUCUGUCACUUUUUGUUAAGUUACACAGAAUUCCCCUCCCCCCCCCAUGCCCAUCCUCCCAUGCCCCACCCUAGUCUUUUGGAAGAUCACCCAGUUUUGGAGUGAUACUGAGACGUAAACUAACUUUAGGGCUGGGCACCAGUGUGCAGAGUGUGCGGCACAUUCCAGAGCCAGUCAGCUAAGGCUUGCUUCACCAGCCCCUGUGCUUAGCCCAAGGCCUCGCAGGUGCUUCACUAGUCCCUGGCCCAACUCUUGGUUCAUGUAAAGAGGAUAGCCUCCGGUAUGUUCUCUUUAUUGAUGGUGAUAUACAUCGAGAGGCACUUGUCCUCACAUCUAACUCUAUCUGGGAACUACUCCAGCCCUGUUCCAUCUUUGGGACAGAUCUCCAGAUACAACGUGACUUCCGACUUUCUCGGGUAUGUACUAAUUCUUGGUUCUAAGAUGGGACCUCUGGCUAAGCUACUAGUCUCUGGUCCUCCUUGUCCUCUUGGUGCCUGAUCUUUUGCUCUUGAGGGUGAGGGAGGGUACUGUGGUGCCUGUUGCACUUGCAUUGAACAUAAUCACCCAACAGUGGCUUGCUUGUUAAAAGACAGUGGCCCACAGAGCUGCCGUCUGUUUGUACCAAGCCAUCUCCAGAGCCUUGUUGCUCACAGCAUUCACCUCAGAAGAUAAAGCUUGAUGUUAGACUAUCCCAGCUUUGAUACAAGUACUGGUUUAUACAUCUUUAUUUAUAAUGAUUUCAGGCCCGGUCCACCUAUCUCCAAGUGAGGACUUCCUGGAAGUGGUGUCCGUCUUUGGGAAGAGGCUGAAGUUUGCCAUUCCCCGCAGUCUAUCUGGUGUUCUUCUGUGGCUGUACCUAGAUCAGAAGGGGGCAGUUUAAACAGCCCGCACCUAUGGAAGCAACCCAUCCCAUCAAAAAAAGUCAACUGCAAGGAGCACAGUUCCUGGAACCACAGCUUCUGGGGCAGGAGGAGUCCUAUCUGUCGUAUCUACCAGCAACACUCGACGUUAUCGAAAGAGACCUCUCAGAGUCUAGGAAUUCAAUUUGUCAUGGGAAGAAUCUUCUGGAAGCAGAGAAGAUAGUAGACAAGAGGCCCCAGUUUUCCUGCCGGAGAUCUCUGAGAAUAUUUGAGGUUGUUCAUGUUCUGUUUGCUUAUUGUGAACGAGACAAAGUUAGCUUCCUUUUGAAUAUCAAACUCUGCUUUUUGGAAGGGCUCCCUGCACAAGCGAUAUGAGACUGCCUGCCUUGUGUGAGCCUUGGAUGAGCCCUGCAGCUCCUUCGAGAUGCUCCUUGGAUAGUCCUGAUGGAGAAGACCCCAAGGAAGCUUGGUCCUGCUUGCGAUGAGCUUGCUGUGCUUUCACGGACACUCUUUGUUUCUUCUACCAGCCUUCAGUGCCAGGAUGAGCUUGAAAGGAGAGCUGAUGCCAGGGCUGUAGCCUUCCCCAGCCAGAGCAUGUGGGCCACACCCUUUCUGGAUGGCUAGGCUGUGGGGAGAAGCUAUGGGAUGCUUGAGAAGUUGUCACAUCUCCCCUGGGGACAGUUUGGUUUUCAGGGUUACAUCCAUUCAAAAACACCCCCUGGUAUUCAGGCUUGUGAAAGACAAGCUAACUUGACCCUGUUCCUUUGUUCUCACUGAGGUCCUGUCCUUGGCAUCUCCUUCCUCCGGUAGACACCACCGAGGUGCAGACACUACCCUGAUGGGACUUCCUGUCCUGCUGUUUGGCUCUGGAAGAGACUUGAUUCCUUUCUUUUUUGUGCUGGUGGAGAUCACACAGAAAAGGUAAGGAGAACCCAGCUGUUUGGGAUUCUGGAAGAAAGAGGUUGGCCUGUAUCCCUGCUGUAAGGAAAGAUGCUGUUCUUGGGCGUCUCCCUUUUCAGGGAUGAUGGCGGUGGCGGACAGGAAGCCCAGCUCCUGCCGCCUGGAUGUCUCUUCCCUUUGUGGGGACCAAUCCUGGAUGGAAUCAGUUCAAGAUGGAUGCCAGCUUCAUACAAGAGCCCUAUCAGGAUUGGUCUGAGGUCUGUGAGAGUAUAUUUGUCCCAGGUAAAUCCAGGUGCUAGGGAUAUCUGAUAGCCUAUAGCAUAUACAUGCCAUCUUUAGGGCAUUUCUGAGGUCAGGAUGCUUCAGCUCUCAUCCCUGCUUCCUCUCUUUGCCAGAGAGAAGUGCUAUCGGCUACUAAAAGUGAAUACUAAAUGGCCUAUCUAUGUAAGAGAUUUUCAGAGGGAAGCCCAAAGCCCAGGAAGAAAUGAUGGACCAGAAACCACAGGACAUGCUUGGAGACUCGCUGCAUGGUGGAUGGCCCUGAGAUGGCAGGGCUCACAGAUGGUCACGUUUGGUGCUUGCAGAUUGGUAAUCUCUGUGCCCUUAGCUUUGUUUAUUCUGGUCAUACAAUGAUCAACCAGUUCUCCAUGCUGCCGUCGAGGGCUUUCUGGACUGCAUGGCACCUUCCGUAAGGAGACCUUGGCUUCAGUCGCUAGUCUAGGUAUGUACAAUGACAGUCACAUACUCGCAUUAUAGUGUAUAGCAGUACUGUGCUUCCUGACAAGAGCCUAACCACUGAUGAAAGGGUUGUGAUAUUUGGGAGGGUGCUGGUAUCAUUUCCAGACCAUCAUGGGAGGGAAAGAAUCACGCAGCAGAUAAUGUGUCUCCUGCUUUGGGUGAGCCUUACUCCUUGAUGAUUUGAAUAAGUUUGUGGAGUCAGGCGAGUGUAAGGGGGUUCUGUUGUUACCCUGGUAGAAACAAACGUAUCAGCUGGCACGUAAUUGGUCACUCUCCCUGCUUUUGCUUCAGAGAAGAUUCCUUGACUGACACAUCUUGCUGACAAAUGUUGGGCUGUCUUGCUUCAUAGUGGGAACUUCACUGGGAAAUAACUGGGUUUUGUUUCUGAUGCCUAGCACUUGGCUUGCUCAUCUGCAGGAGAGUCGUUAUCCUAACAGAUGCUGGGAUUUCGGUCAUGGGAUUCUGAGGCCUUCCCAUGACCCUCUUUGGGGAUUUUGGUUUUUUUUUUUUAAGUUAAAUUUUUUUUAAAAGUUAAAUUCUUAUUAAUAUCCCAACUUCAUGCUCCACAAAUUGGUCAAGAACAGUGACAAGAGAAUCCAUGUGAGCUGUUGUGCAGAUUUUAGAGAGCUGAUAAAGAUAUCACCAGGAUGAUCAAUCUUCCCAACUGGAAGUGUGGAGACUAGGGUGCUCUCAAAGUAGGGCUAGCCAGUGUACCUAGGGACUGGAUGAGCCAACAUCAGAUGUGAACAUGUAGGAAGAGGAGGGGCCAAAGUAGUACAACUGUGAUGUUGGCGGAACCACAAUCCCUGAGAGAUUCAGUGGGCUGCAGGGAGCAUACUUGCUGGUAUCAUGGCUAUCUCAGCUAAGGCAAUGACCCUGGAUGGCCUGAAAGGCUGGUAAGAUGGAAGAAAGGGUAACAGAAAAUGAGGAAGUCAUAGGACCAAUGUUGGGGAUCUUGAUGAUAUAUCAACAAAUGAGUGUUACACUGGGAAACAAAAUAGAGGUGGGGCACUACCGCCUGCUAGCCAGAACUGUAGGAAAUAAGAUGAAUACUUUCCAUGUCCUCAGGAGAGAGCCAGGUUUCCAUCAGGGUGAAAGAUGGGGCCAUGGAAAAGGAGUGAAGCCCCAAGGGACUUUGCUAGUGAAAUAUGUCUUAUGAAACCAUGGAGGCAGGUGGGACACGGAAGGGUGAGAAAUAGGUUCUUACUGGAGCUUUGGAAAGCUACCCUAAAGAAGCUUCCUAGUGGCUAGCCACUAGAAUCUGGAAAUGGUAACUGGUCUUUCUCGUACAAGGUUGCUUGUAGGAGUUGGGUACUCCAUUUGUGAUGGUCUUCUUCUUCUUCUUGAAACUGAUUUCUUGGAGAUGAGACAGUGGGAGUGGAGGAUCACCUGGGAUCAUGUAGAGCUCAAUGAACCUUCUCUUGAUUCAUAUGAGGAUGCUAGUAGCCUUGGUUGGGCUUUUCUGCAGUGGGACUUUUAUAGUCCCCUCAGGACCUUGAUGUGACUAACCAUAUGUGCACCGUUGAGAAAUGCAAGUCCCCAUUCACACACCCCAGGGUCUAUAUACCUGCAGAGGACUUCUGACCUACAGCAAGUGGGCUCCCUUCUCAUCUUGAAAACCUUCCAGUGUGAACUCUAGAACCAAGGAAGAACAGAGAAAGGGGACAAUGUCAGCAUCGUUGCAAGGGAGGUGAGUGACCACCUCUGCCCCACUCCAGUGUGUUUCUAGAGCACUUGCCCCCACCUCACUAACACUCAGCAUCCAAUCUGCCUGCAGGUUGGUGGUUGGAAACCAUAGCCCUUGGAGAAAUGGAAGGGGCCCUUUGUCUGUCUUGUCUCUGCCUUUCUGUGGUACUUGAAGAGAAGUUGUUCGUGGUGGAUUCGCUUUACUUGUGACGAAUCAUUCACGGACAACACUUUUUUCAGUACCAAAUGCUACCUCUAAGGAUUUCCUGGACAUGAUGGCAACUUGCAGAAAGAUGGCGGUUCAGUCAAGCUGGUAGAGAAGCCAAGUAUGGAUGUUUGGCCACGGACAGUGUGCUUGAGCUAGCUGUAAGUCACCUGGUCGGGUUACCUGAGCAUCUGAUCCACCUGUAGGCCUCUCAUCAGUGGGCCGUGCCAACCUUGGUGAGGCAGCUGUGGCUCUGCCCACAAGUAUCAGCUUACAAGACUUUGAAAAGAGGUCAUCUUCCAGAAGAGAUGUUGGUGCCAGCACCAUUCAGGGUGUGUGACUGGUUGACCAGAGGGGCGUGCACUCUGUUCACCCUGUGGGCCACCUAGUCACCAACCCUCAGCAUCAAUUCCACUCAAAGAAGACCUUCCAGAGAUCCUACCAAGUUUGGGGAUGUGUCAAUGGACUUGAUGGCUGUGCCUGCUCAGUGGACCAGGAUGAACUGUGGUCUUAGGGGUGUAUGUUUACAUAAGAUGCCAUGAGGCAUCCGUGGUAGCCGCUGCAUCACUGUCACAGCCUCCUUGAAAUGUUGACUUCAGAUGUGGACAUGAUGUUGACUUCCCAUGAGGGACCUGAAGUCCCUUCUCUCCUGGGUGUGUGACUGAAUUGUACUUUACUAAGCAUGUGCCUGUGCCUUACUUAUCUGAUGGAUCUAUCUUCCAGUUGUCUAACCUCAAUAUCCUGUCUCUACAGGAGAGUCUGUGAGAUGAUACCAACCUCUGGUUGUCCUGACAUCGCCACACUACCACAGGAGCUUCCAGAAUACAUUCUCUUCAUGGAAACUGUGGAACAGCGCCCCCUCUGGUCCAGGAGGACUAACCAGAUUCAAGGCUAUCAGCAUCCCCCUUUCAGGUAAGUGUGCCUCGGGUGAGCAUGCACUUAAUGUAGGUGUAUGUCACUCGGCUCGGCCCACUACCCAAUGCUGUCCCACCCCUUCUUCACAGGACAGUGGAAGCAGCCACCUUUUCGAGAGAGAGUCGAUGUGUUCUUCGCCAGUGUUCUUCACCAGUGAUCAUGUGUGAUACUUGGAGAGAGGCUGGCCGUGAUGAAUUCGAUUCAUCUAAACGAGUCAUACACGGCUCUCCUCUCUUCUAGUGUCAAACUCUGCCUCAGAGGUCUUCUCAAGCCACUACUGUUCCCAAGGUGGGUUUCUGGAUGGCUUAUCCCAUGACAAGUGCCUUUAUCUAAUUGUAUAUUUCACACAAUUAUCCCAGUGUCCAAGCUAACCCACACAUGACUUCCUAGGACAUUUCUCUGGAAAGACCAGAGACACUGUUGGGAGAUUCUGUUUAAAUGUUUAAACAUACUGGCUAGCUUCUGUUUUGGUUAGUACCUAAUUCUACCCUGGAAGAACAACUAGAAACAGCCUUCGCUAGUUAACCUUCAGGAUACAGGCUAGAAUGGGACCCGGAACAUUGUGAGCCUGUGUUGAGUUAUCUGUAGCCAUUCCAUACCCUGAAGUGAAGUCUUUGAAGGUGAGCUCAGCUUCACCCAGCAUACCCAGAACAACCUGCCUUGCAAACUUGUGUUUGCUGUGGGUAUGGCUCUGCCACCUUUGACUUAGUAAACGUUGCAUGACGAGUCAAAAAUCACCUUCCUCUUGGAGCUUAUUUGGGGCCGAUAAACCAGAGGUUAGCCAGAGAGCAUGGGUCUGAUUGGGACUUAAGCCAUUUGGUUCACUUAUUCUCAGGGUCCUGUCCAUUCUGUGUCUACUCCCAAGGUGUCCCCCUGUGAAGAAGAUGCAGGAGUGCUGUGGGAAGUGUCAUCCCCUGGUACUUGGAGGGAGGUUGCCCCAUAGUGAGCUUGCAUUAUUUAAUGAUGCCCAAUGCAGGGUAGACCUGUUUUCUGUAUCACAUCUUACCAGGUGCUUCCUUGGACCUGAUACCAAUCAUGAGGAAGCCACGUUCCUGGUGGGGUUUGUACCAUCGUCCUUGAACAUGUGGUUCCUUCCAGUGUCCCCUGACCCCAUCCAGUCCCUCCAUGGAGGGCAUUGCCAGCAUUGAGGUAGAUACCCAUGUUAUAAACUUAAGGCAUGGAUGUGGUGGCACUCAUGGUACUUCUGGCUUUUUUAUCUAUUUGUAAAGAAAAGUAACAAAUUUUGCUCCCCCACGUCUCCACUGGUAAAUCUUGUCUUAUAGGGAGGACUUAGACCUGUUGAGAAAUCCUGGAAUGGGGUCCAGGGUCAGCAUUUUUCGGGGUGGGGAUGUAACUGAGUGGUGAUUUUCCUUGUCUGUUGGCUGGGAUCUCAGAAGAAAUUUGAGGACAGUAGAAAAACUAUUUUUCAUUUCUUCAUUUUCUUUGUAAAAGGAGGAUUUAUCCUACUUAUUACUAUUUUAUUAAAAAGAUGUAUGCUCAUGAUAAAAAUAAAAGCAAUAUGAAACAAUUAAAUUAAAGAAAUUAGGAAAGUUUCUACCCACACAUAAAUAACUUCAGGAAUUUCAAACUCCUUUCUGAGACUUAUAUACAAAUGAAAAGAGGGGUAAAGAGAGAAAUAUUUCACAGGAUAAAUACUCCCUGUGUCUAAUCAUUUUAUUUCAAAUAUAAAUCAUCAUCUCACUUGUGCUUAACCUAAGGAACAAUGACAGGAAGACUUUAUAGAUGUGUCCAAAAAGAUCCCAGCCCAGCUGAGAAAGCUUAAGUUGAAAGCAUUAAGUAGUUCGAUCAGAUUCUCUGCUGCUUCUGACUGCUACAGAUAUGAAAUGCCUCCACAACAUUGCUUUCUUUACUGUUGCAAUGUGUUUUAAUUUUUCUGUUGAAAAAAAUGCAAAUGUAAGUCUUACAAGUGAGAUGGGUCCUCAGUAUUACAAACAGCUUCACUAGUGGCCACUUGUUUGCUUUAAACGGGGGCUUCUAUUUCUCAGCUCUUAGUGUAUCUCAGUGCAAUGAGGAUUUUUGUCAUUCCUACAAGGAUGGCUCCCAGAUGCUACCCUUCCUCCCUCUCUGUCCCCUCUCUACUGCCCCCUCUCCUCUUCUUUUCUCUUUUCUCCAAAAUGGGGGGUGGGGUGGGGUGGAACUCAGACCUUCACGCAUGCACAGAGAAGACCCACUCACGCACUGAGGCAUACCCACACAUAGCUUCUGUCCUUGCUCUAAUCCAUAUCCUGGGAACCCUCAAGGGCAGGGAGUGGCCUCCAAUGGCCUCCAGAAUGCUCCCCUUAGGUCCCUAGGGCAGGGAGAGAGCGUGUUUUGAGUUAAGUUCUCUUCCUUAACACAAGGGUCUUUCUUUCUUUCAGAUGUAGCUGUGCAUUAUACACCGACUAGCUUGAGCUGUGGGUGACUGUUUCCCAGGGUUUUUACACAUGUGUGGAGCUUUCCCUAUGCAGUCUUGUUACUGGGUUGAGCCUUUAGGUGAACAGUGGGUUAACCUGGGUAGCAUUCCUGUGUUCCUUCUCCUUUGCUGUCUGCUGGUCAUAGCCUUAGUAUAUAGCCUGCUUGAUACCUGAUGUCUGAACUACAGUCCUUCCUCGAUUUUUUUGGGUUCUAAGACUUUCCUAUUGGGCAUUGGUGACUUUGCCAGGUGAUACCCCAGCCAGUGUUUUCCCAUCAGUUUUUUUUUCUCGAUUGUAAUUUUUAUUCCUUCUUUAUUAGAGUUAGUUGUAUCAUUUAAAAGACGUUCUCUGCGGUUCUUUUCUUGACUUAAAAGAUCCAAGUUGUCUGUUUAGUUUAGUCAGUCUCCACCCCCUGCUGCCACCUUCCCUGCAGCCCUCUCUGGCAUCCUUUGCAUCAUGAAUUUAUUUGGUUAAAGGCAUCAGAUCCCCUUUCCCACUGUUAUUUUCCCCCUUGGCAGGAUGCCUAAUUGCAAUGCCAGCUUCUGAGGUGAACAUGGACCCACUGUCACCGGGCAAGGUCUAGGAUGAACAUGGAUACCCACCAUUAUCGGGGAGAUUCCAGAGUGGACAUGGACCCACCAUCAUCAGGCAGGUUUUGGGAUGGAUAUGGGCCCACUGUCGUCAGGUAGCUAUGUGAACUUACUGUCAACCAAGCAAGUUUUAGUGUUCAUUUCUUUGUUAUCUCAUGUUCAGUGGAUCAUAAGCUAAAAAGUACAAUCUAUUAUUAGAAAAACACCCUGAAAGUUUGCUCACCCCAAGGGAUGAGGCCAUGACUCGAAGGUCAGUGCCAUUUAGUGCUGACCUUACCUUUAUAAUGAGUAUUGCCAAGUCAGCCUCUCUGUGAACUCUUCAGGAAAUCCCUAGAAACAAAGCCUAUGUAAAGCGAGGGUCAUUGGUGUUUGCCUCAAUCCCAGUGUGAAGCUAGGGACUUUCCACUCCUAUGAUGAACACAGGAUGAAAUCUGUGCAUCUAGGACCUCCAUCACCAGAUCCUUGUAAGGACCUUUAGACACUGUAUCCUUGGCAGUGGUGCCAAGACUAGAUAACCAUGGGCAUCAGGGGUUGGGGGGAAUGGGUUGGACCUGGGGUAUGUGAUGCCUUCUCAAGCCCUCUCACAGUCAAUGCAGUAACCUGCUGUGUUCACUGUGCUUGGGGGACUUCCUGGAGGAAGCCAGCUUCAGAGAAGAGAUGCUGGUACCCACGUGCGGUGCUUGAAGAUAGGUUAUCCGUGUUGCCUUCGCUUUAUUCGUGACGAAUCAUACACGGUUGACCUAUUUUUCAGUACCAAAUCCCGCCUUGGAGGAAUUUCUGGGGUGGGACUGUGGUGUUAGCGUCUUUCCGGGGUAAGUGGUUGCAUCUAGUAAGAGGAAUGCUGUCCAUGCCCAGUGUAUCCCUGGUUCUCUUGUGGACUCAGGGAGGGAGGGACUUACUUUGGAAUGAGGUGGAGUAUUCUGUAGUCAUUCACUUUAUUACUCUGGCAAAUCAUAUAAAGUCCACCUUCUAAGGUGUAAAAUGUGUCCCUCAAGCAUAUUAGGGAAAGGUCAAGGUCAGAACUAGGAAUUGAGUUCACAGCAUCUACCAUAAUGUUUACAUCAGCCCCUCUGGCCACGUAGUCUGAGCUCCCUAGAAGAGGCAGUUGUGUUCCCUGGUGGUGUUCUGAUAAGAAGCCUUCCCACUUCUCUCUAGGACACACCCAUGUGGGCGUGGCAAGCUCCUGUGGCUUCUUCUGGUCAGUGAUACUAACCACCACAGGCAGGAGACAAGAAGUGACCCCUAGGCCACAUGGCAUAUGUCAUAUAGCUAGAAUAUGUAACCAUCUGCCCAACUCUCAGGGACUCCAUCCUCAGAUGCCUGAGAUGUACCAACACAAGCUCUCGAAAUCAAGUGUUCGAAUGGAGGUUGCCCAUGGUGUGUUCAUUUUAUUUAUGAUGAGUAUUACAUGGCCAAUCUCCUUUCGGCACUAAAAUCUUCCCGGGAGAGCUUCUUCGACUGUGCGGGUUAAGGAAAUAAAUUGUUCCCUGUACUAAGUGCUUUUCCUGGGACUUAGGUCACCUGGUUGUCAAAGUAAGAUUUCCCAGAAAUGACACCAACUAUUUCGGUGACUCUAUUGUUGUCUGGCCAUGGCUAUCAAGAGCAUAGUACAUUGUGUCAAGCACUGCAUUCAGAUGAGAAAACAUCACAGUAUUAGGCAUGCUGUAGGGAAGAGCAAAUGUCAGUCACCAGUGGGGUGGGGUUAGCUACAAGCCACUCAGUUACUCAUUCCUUACCAGUUUCACCAGUCCAGGGGGGAUCUCUAAGAAGUAGAACCAGAUGUCAGGCUGGUGAAUGGGGAGAGGUGGCUCACAGUGACAUUUAGUGACAUGAGAAUGCUGGUGUCCUUUCCCUGCUCCAGUGUCCCUUGGGAAGGAGAGACCCCAGCAGCAUUCAUUACCACCCGAUGCUUGCUAAUGGUGUGACCUUGAAUGAGUCAGCCUGUCACCUGUCUGUGCCUCCGUUUGUCUGUCUGAGAGUGUUAAUGGCUGCUUAUAAGGUAUGUAUACACGCUGAAUGUGUGUUCAGUAUUUUGAUAGUGCCUGGUUUCCCCCCAGAAAGUUGGAAAACCAUUGGCUUUUAUAAUGAUACUUGUUGCAUGGAUGUCAUUACUCGGCAGAUCUCUUCCCACCCUCUGGGACACAGGUUCCUUGAGCUCAGAAACCCCAUCUGAUGCUCGUAGGUGCACACGGUACGAAUGAUGCUGAAUGAAUGGCAGUUGGACAUGUUUUCUUUGUUGAACCCUCUUUGAGGCCUCUCGGAAGCCAGAGAGAAUAGAGGACGGUCCAGAAACCUUGUACCCUGAUGCUGCUGGUUUGUCUGUGGGGUCUCUCGGGAUACUGCUUCGGAAAGGGAGUUAUCCUCUUUCAGCCUUCAUUGGUGGGCAGGAUGGACCCUACUACACAGAGAGUCAUGGUUUCUUCUAUGUCAACCCUACCUCAGGACUUCUCUGGGUGUCCGUGUGCUUCUGGGUGAGUGACCAGUUUCUGGCCAAAGCCUGGACAUCGGUACAAGUCUCUGUCCACCUGUAGGCAGGAUAGAACUCUGCGAGUCCGUUCACGCUAGUCUGCCUUGCAGUUGGACCUGCGGGCUCAUCGGAGGUCACGCCAGCCUCCCUAGAGGGUGGGAGUCAGGGAGCCAGAGGCGAGGGAAGCAGGGCUGCCUGGGGAAGAGGCGCCCUUGCGCGACUCUCGCCCUGUGCUGACGUUUGAUUCUUGAGCAGAGGUUGCCCUUGGUGAAUUCGCUUGGUUGAUGUUGAAUCACACAAAGGCAACUUUUGUUUGAGUGUCAAAGCCUGCUUGGGGUGGCACUGGGGACCAGUUACAGAGUUCUGCGUCUCUGUAAAUGUCAUGUGCUAGAAUGGAAGGUGUGGAUAUGGGGAUGGUCAGGAAGGGGUGUGCCUCAGAAUGCCGCGUGACCAGCCGUGUAGUCCCAGCAACCAAUGGAGAGAUGCCAAUAUCUACUCCCUGGCUCUUCUCAGCCUGAAUCCUCUUUGUCACACCAGCACCUAGGCCCCGCCCCCUAGUUGGCAGACACACCCUAGUUGGCAGACACACUCGCUGUUCUAGCUCUACUCUGAAGAUACCUUGACUAAAUGAACUCUGUCCUUUGACAGCGUCAAGGACAAUGGCAGCCUUCCCUCCCCACCCCCUUCCUCUCCUUAACUCACUGGGUCAGGAGUGCUCACAUACCAUCGUUUUUUUUUUUUUCCCCCUCCCACCCCACCCCCUCAACACACCUCUGUCUGCUUCUCUCUCUUCCUCAUCGCUCACCAAACCUUGUUCUCCAUUUUUGGAUGGGUUAGGAAAUGAAUAGAGGCGACCAGCAUUUCAUCCCGUUUACAUUAAAUAAUAGUGAUAAAAUAAUCACAAAAUAACACCACACAAACUACCAGAAUAGCUUGGAGGAAAAUGUGUUCAAUUGACUACAAAUUGGCAGAAGCAUCCAAUUUUCUUGACAACAUUUGAGCUGCGACAUUUGACCUGGGGAAACAGUACUCUAUAGACAUGGCAGCCGCAAGGGCCAGCUUCAGUAGUGGCGGAUGCUAUGAGCAGCAAUAUUUGUGGUAGAUGAACGCACAUUGAGGAAUCAAAUCUUCGUUCAGAUUUUUAAAUGGGAAAGAAUUGAUCCUAAUGAAAAUGAUUUGAGGAAAUAACAAGGGAAAUAAAAGAAAUGAAAAUGGCCCAACAGCACAGUCAAGGAAGCUAAACAGGGAAUUGGAUUAGUUUAAUGGAAUUUACUUUAAAAAAAAAAAAGGAAAGAAACGCAUGUUUUUUAUGAAAAUCAAUGUGGGUGCGGUGUUUGAGAUGGGGAAAUCUAUGGGUUUAGACUAGAACUAGUGGGGUGAUGAGAAGGACUGGUCACCAUGUGGGUUGUUUUUUUUUUUUUUUUAAGGUGGCUAAACUUUAUUUUCCCAUCCCAAACCUUUACAGAGAGCUUCCUGGAGUAUUCCGAAGCUGGUGGGUGUCAUCUGGCGGAUGUGACUGGGUACCAGUGCCAGAGCAUGUGCCCACUGAGCAGUCUUCUUCACUUUCCUCGAUCCUCAUGAAACAUUCUGGGAUCUUUACCGCAAAGGACUCCAGAGGCUACAUCAUUGUCUUGGAACUGGUCAGUGGCUGGAGCUCUCUCCAGGACAAGUGCUUGGAGGAAGAACCUGGACAAGCUUUCCUCCCCAUACUGUUGACUGGAUCUUAUAUCUACCGUUAGCCACCAUCAUCGCCACUGCGUGCCUCUUAGGAGCAUUUCCAGGAGGUGAUGCCAGCUGGGGAAAGAGCCUCUGUCCCACAGGUCAGUUUCCAGAACACCUAGAUGAAGCUGCCCAUGGCGUCUUUUCCCCGUAUGACACACUGCAUGUGACCAGUCUCUUGCUGCCCUGCAGCAAGGCUAGAAGCCUGUGUGAACUCUUGCCAAAAUCAGAGAAGGGAUUCUGAUGUUGGUCACACUCCAAGAGUUUUAAAAUGAGUGGCGAACACAGAAUCCAUACUCUGCUUAUGGCCUAAGUCAAUGGAUCCUGACCCUUACUGGAGAGCCCUCCCUGGUGUGCUCGUGCGGGGCAACCAUACACACUGGCACAAGGGGACCCUGCGGGAUCUCCUUCCGCUGUUCUUUCUCUCCUCCCUCCAUGUUUAUCUUUGAAGCUUUACUUGCUUGGUUUAUAAGGCUGGAUGGUCAAGCAGUUCUUGCUAUGACAUCGCCGUGGGGGGAGGGGGCAGGCGACAGGGUGGGGUGCCAGGGUCGUGAGGCUGCAGUGCUUGGGUGGGCCCAAGGAGGAGCAUCUCUGGAUGAUGCAGUCAUUGCCCCCUUGCUUCUGGAAGGCAUCUUCUCUGGCAGGGUGGUGUGGUAUAUGCGCAGGGUCUCAGCAUCUCCCUACCUCCAGCUUACAAUGAAGAGAUAAGAGUAAGCAGAGUUCUGCACCCACUUCUUCCCCGAGUCAGCUCCUGUCUACCUGGGUCUCAAGGUUGUCUGGGAAGGCUUUAGAUAUUCUUGGAAGGUGAAAGGGUGGUAGAUUGCACUGGGGAGGUGAUGGAGUAAUUGCUUUCACCUGGUGGAGGGUGGCUCCUCGCUGAAUGGGGAGUUACAAUCUCUGAGGGGCUCCAGGAUGGUUCUUCUGGAAACUCAGCCAUCGGCCUCGUUUCUGAGCAUCUGAGCCUCUCCGUGGUACUCGGAGAGAGGUUACCCGAGCAACUUUGCAUCUGGAGGACGAAUGUUGCUCGGUGAACCCCUUUUCGGUAUCAAAUCCCUCCAGGGAGGCCACCUCAGGGAAGACCAUGGACUCAUCUCUGCUCUGGGGUAUGGGACGGAUGGUCGACCAGCUGGAAAGUAAUUGUUUCUAAUGUACUUCACCUGGUCCACUAGCCGUCGGUGCCCGCUGCAGCCUGCGCCCGGGAUGUCACGGCCUCAGCUCAACACCUCUGCUGGUACUUGAAGGGAGAUCGACCGUGUUAUAUUCGCUUGGCUGACUUCGAAUAAUACAUGGUUGAUCUUUUCUCAGUAUCAACGCUCAGCUUGGAGAAGCUCUUGGAGUUGCAGCCCCCGUGGGGGUGGGGACAGCUUGGUGCUUCUAGGUUGCUGCCUCCGCGGGGAACUGGGCUGGGUGGGACAGGCUGUGUGCUGCCUGUGUCAACCCUUCUCACCAUUUAUAUGCAAUCCCCCCCUUUCCCCCAGGACAGCUUCAGGUGGUGGUUCCAGCUCCAGGGUUGCUGCGGUCAACACUGGGUACUUGAGGAGAGGUUGUCUGUGAUGAGUUCGCUUUAUUAAUGACGAAUAUAACACAGAUGGCCUGUUUUCAAUACCACCUGCCACUCCGGUCACUCGGCAGUACAUACCAGGUGUCACACCACUGCCCGGCAGGUGACGAAGUUGAAUUGGUCCUCAGGAGCAGAUGUUCAAGGAACCCUGCCUAUGCUCCAUGCCAGCUGCCAGUCCUUAGGUUGGGAGAUUCCACUGGAGACAUCCAUGGGAGAGCUAUGGCCAUUAACAAGUCCUGAGACCUGACCUGAAGCCAUCAGUGGCCCAGCUGCUCUACCUGACUUUGUUGCCUCUUCCUGGAUCUCUCGCUUAUGACAACCGACGACAAAGAUGUUUGACUCCAGAAGAUGCUCCCCGCGGCCCACCUGAGAGGACUCUCCAUACCCCACCCCACUGCCAUCUACCUCUGAGUCCCCAACUCAUAGCCCCUGCUUCUCAUCCAUGUUUCAACUCCCACCCCAGAGCCUUGUAUUCCAGAUCUGAGCAGCCCUUGCUUAGGAACCUGAGGUGGGGGUGGGUAGGCAGACCCAGGGGACUGAGCAGGGAGGGGAAGGAGGGGUUUCUGCUCUUGGCUUUCAAAGUUCUCAGUGUGUGUAGCCCUUUGAAUAAUAAACAUAUAUCAUAUAAUGUAAA
Molecule: non-coding RNA, 16393 nt
Organism: Mus caroli (Ryukyu mouse)
Lineage: Eukaryota; Metazoa; Chordata; Mammalia; Rodentia; Muridae
Source: RefSeq, a predicted model, not a curated record